RNAcentral lists this long non-coding RNA (255 nucleotides) under Chinchilla lanigera (long-tailed chinchilla). RNAcentral's name for it is "lncRNA (ENSCLAG00000025489.1)". Lineage: Eukaryota; Metazoa; Chordata; Mammalia; Rodentia; Chinchillidae. The record is from RNAcentral.
GCCGGCUCCGAGGGCCUGCUCGCCCCGCCCGUCCCCUGGGCCUCCCAGCGCCUAGAAACUCAGUCUGCAGUGUCACCGGGGUCUUUGUUCUCGCGUCCAAGCAGAACAUUUAAAUGCUGUUUAUAAAUAAGGUGAAAAUGACUCACAAUAAGUCAUUCACUCCUCUUGUAGUGGAAAUGGGAACUUUUUGCAAGAUCAAACUUUACUCCUAAUCAAGGGGUAUUUUAUUGGUUGAUGAAAGACAUGCAGACCGUC